RNAcentral lists this ribosomal RNA (253 nucleotides) under uncultured bacterium. RNAcentral's name for it is "partial 16S ribosomal RNA". It matches the Rfam family "Bacterial small subunit ribosomal RNA", at positions 524 to 776 of the family's 1533-position model. The record is from RNAcentral.
UACGUAGGGUGCGAGCGUUGUCCGGAAUUCUUGGGCGUAAAGAGCUUGUAGGCGGUUUGUCGCGUCUGCUGUGAAAUCUCAAGGCUCAACCUUGAGCUUGCAGUGGGUACGGGCAGGCUAGAGUGUGGUAGGGGAGACUGGAAUUCCUGGUGUAGCGGUGAAAUGCGCAGAUAUCAAGUGGAACACCAGUGGCGAAGGCGAGUCUCUGGACAUUUCCUGACGCUGAGGCACGAAAGCCAGGGGAGCAAACGGG